This is a regulatory RNA element of Psychromonas ingrahamii 37, 134 nucleotides long. It matches the Rfam family "Ribosomal S15 leader". Rfam says of the family: The E. coli Ribosomal S15 gene 5' UTR can form two alternative structures. One that is a series of three hairpins, The other includes a pseudoknot. The record is from Rfam. Lineage: Bacteria; Pseudomonadati; Pseudomonadota; Gammaproteobacteria; Alteromonadales; Psychromonadaceae.
CUUUGCCGCUGAAUUAGUGAUCGGCGGUACUAAUUUAAAUCGGUUAUACACAUAACCAUAAAAUAUCGGAGUAUGUUAUGUCACUAAGUGCAGAACAAAAAGCUGAGAUUGUAGCUAAAUAUGGUCGUUCAGAA